CAGUAGCCGCGGUAAUACGGAGGGUGCAAGCGUUAAUCGGAAUUACUGGGCGUAAAGCGCACGCAGGCGGUCUGUCAAGUCAGAUGUGAAAUCCCCGGGCUUAACCUGGGAACUGCAUUUGAAACUGGCAGGCUAGAGUCUUGUAGAGGGGGGUAGAAUUCCAGGUGUAGCGGUGAAAUGCGUAGAGAUCUGGAGGAAUACCGGUGGCGAAGGCAACCCCCUGGACAAAGACUGACGCUCAGGUGCGAAAGCGUGGGGAGCAAACAGGAUUAGAUACCCCUGUAGUCCCUGUCUCUUAUAC
This 301-nucleotide ribosomal RNA is filed under the name uncultured bacterium. RNAcentral describes it as "partial 16S ribosomal RNA". It matches the Rfam family "Bacterial small subunit ribosomal RNA", at positions 509 to 807 of the family's 1533-position model. The record is from RNAcentral.